AGGAGGGUAAAGCCCAAGAAAUGGAGACAAAAAUGUGGCCAAAACAGUUGAGCUGGGCCGAACCGGGUCCCAGGAUCCACUCCACUUCCAAAACCUGGUUCAGUAACAAAAACCCUAAAUUCACCACUCUAAUCUCCUUCACUCAAUCGAUCCCCUUAUUCCUCUCUUGCCGUCUGCAUUUUCUCCCCUCCAUGUUCACACUUCUGUUAACGAAAACAAGGAAACGAAACAAGUAUACUCUAUCUCUCAUCAGCGACAAACCAACACACAAGCAUCAGUUAAAAAACAAAACCCUAAUCCCCAAAUACCCCAUUCUCAUUAUUUCGGUUAUUUUUAUUGAAUUAUAUAAGUUACUAGUUACUUAUCUAUUUUCUUGAUUUUUUAUAGGCGAUGCCUUAGUUUUUUCAGAUUUUGGUACACAGUGGUUAGUCUUUUAUUUCAAUAGUUAUAGCUGUAUGAAUUUUUUAUAUAUAAAAAAAAUUAUAUCCAUGAAUAAUUCCAUGAAAUCAUUAAAACCCGUUUUAGUCAAUGGUGGCUGAGAAGAAGAUUUUUCGCCAAAAGUAAAGGCUGAGAAGAAGAUUUUUCGCCAAAAGUAAAGGAGUAAAAGGAAGAAUACUCUGAGUAAUAAACAGGGAAGCAGUGUUUUUUUGUCAAUUCUCCUUCUCAAUCUCCUCUUCUUCAACCACUUCAAUUCUCUUUCUCAAUCUCCUCUUCUUCAACCACUUCCACAAUCACCUGCCAAAUAUUUUUUAACACCCUUUCUCCAACAAUCAUUUUCUUUUUUUUUUCUUCAUCCUCAAUGCGCUGUUCAGUUCUUCAUCCAUUUUUUUUUAUUGUUUUUCCUCAGUUAGUUUAUCCAAGUCUUUGUUUUUGUCUUAUUUCUCGGUUUCUUCUUUCUUUUCCUCUUCUUAUUUUUUGCAAAAAUUUUCUUCUUAGCCACCCUUGUUAAAAUCUCGGCGAUAGCUUUUGAUUAUGAACCUUUGCAUCAAUAAUUUCAUGGAAUUAAGUUUUUUUUUUUUUUUGUAAAAUAGAUAAGUUCAUAUGACUUUAACUUUCAAAAUGAUAAACUAAUCACUAUAUAUCAAAAUCAAUAAUGAAACAACAUGCUCUCCCAUGUUAAUUUGGGUCUAAUGUUGCAAAUACUGCUAUGGAUUUUAAUUUGUUUGUAUGUUCUGCAUAUAUUCAUGCUCUUCCAUAUUAAUUUGGGUCUAAUGCUGCAAAUAUCUAUGGCUCUGAUCUACCUAUUGUAUGUGCUGCAUAUAUUCAUGCUCUCCCAUGUUUGUUUGUAUACAUAUAUCCAUGCUUUCCCAUGUUUAUUUCGGACCUUAAUUUGUUUGUAUGUUUUGCCUAUAUCUAUGCUCUCUCAUGUUAAUUGAAUCUACUGUAUUAUUUCAAUAAACUUGAUUUUAGAUCAAUUUCAUAAUUUAGUAUAUGUAUUUGGUAGAUUCAAUUAUGACAUUGCAGGAAGGGAUAAGAUAAAAUAAUUAAGAUGUCAAAUAUUCACCUAGCAUUUAUUAAAUGGAAAAUAACAAACAGGACUUACGACCUUCAAAAUCACGUACCAAAAUUAACUACCAAACUACUAGUGAAACAUUAAUACAUUUCAUCAUAUUAUACUAUAUUGUGUUAUAUAUAAGUGCCACGAGUAAUUUGUUUAAUGAAGUUGGUUCAGCCUUUGAGCAAAUUAUGAGCACUAUGUUAUGGCAUUUCAGGCACAAUAACAUAGUGUUGAGUAAUAGGGAAGGAGUGGACCCAAUUCGAUGAUGAUCUGCUACCACCGUCAACAAGUCCGAUAACAUUCCUCUCAUUCGAGCUAGGUUCCAUCCUCACCCCCAAUUAUCCCGGUUUCAGGAGGUUAAAACCUCCUUAUCGGUUAUAAUAGGGUGUGGAAAGUGAAUGAGUCCUCUCAAAGUAUUAAUAUACUCAAAUUUUCCAAUUGUCUCUAAUGUGUCAGGGUCUAUUACUAUGGACCUCUUUUUGUGAACCUCUUUUUGUGUCUCUGUGAGACAAACCACCCUCCCAUUGCCGAGCUUCACUACACAUUUCUUUGAUAAACUGAAUUGAUUACACCCUUGCUUUUUUUGUGUAAGCCUAUGACCUAUUUAAUGGAAUUUUGCUAUGAAGUUAUCAAUAUCUUAGGGCUAUGUCAGAGGUGAUUUGAUUAAUUAACUUCAUUAUGCUGUCCUGCUGUGAUUUUCUUCUUAUCUGUAUUUUAUAAACAUCUUAUUUAUCAUUAUAAUUGGUCAAAUGAUUCUGAGAUUUUCUCUAUGCAGGUGUAAAUUCCUAAGGUGAUUGAAACACUUAAUUUCAUUCUAAUGAAAUCUAGAUGUUAAAGGGCCAUUUACUUUUUUGUUUAUCUUAUCUUUGAAUUUUGUUUCUAUCUUCUUCCUUUCUAAAUUUUCAUUCCCUUCUCUUUGUUAAUGUUACGUAAUUUCUAUAUAAUUUUCUUUUUUUAUUGGUCAAGAAAAUUAAGUGAUAGAUUGGAGAGGUCAUUUGUGCAGUUUCUUGGAAUUUUUCAUCAAUUGAUUCAACUUGUUUUUUUAUUCUUUUUUCUUAAAAAAAAAGUAAACAGGAGAAUUCAAUGUUUGACUCGCCAUUCGAUUUCAAUUUAGAAGAAAAAGUUGAUUAAUUGUCAUCUGCACAGUGAAUCUUUAAGUGUGCUUAAUUUCUUCAAGACUUGAAAAAACUUUUUUUUUUCUUUUCUAUCUGCAUUGUAUGAUGUAUGAAACAUGAAAUUUUUGGUUAAUGUUUGCACUGAUUCUGUAAUUCUUUUAUGCAGAAAAUGUCAAAUCUGUGCAGAAGAAUGAACUUGUAGAGAUUAUAGUUGAGAUGUUGGCUAGAUUCUUAGUUAUUAAUUGUACGAUGCAGGAAUUGGAGCGACAUAAGUAGCUUCAAGCACAAGCUAAAGAUAAUUGGAAAAUGUAAUGCUUGGUCCUGACUAUGAUAUUCUUGAUAGUUACGACAAUACCGUUAACAACGGAAUUGGUUUUGUUUCACUUGAAAUAGAUAGUUGGAGACAAACAAUGGUAGCGAUUUCGAGUAAAAAUCUAAAACACAGAUGGAUGUGAAGUGCAUCUAGGGAUAAUAAUUGUAGAAGAGAAGAUCAAAGGAAAGCUGGGACAAUAUUUGCUGCUAUUUGUGUUAGUUUUAUCCUCAGUCCACAUAUGUUUUUUUCUCAGUCCACAUAAAAGCAUAAUCAAGUGAAAAGGGAUUAAGGGACCAAGAAGAUCUUACUCAACCUUCAAUUUCAUUUCACUAUAUUAACAAUCAAAUGGGUCAAACCAGUUCCUUUCACGAUGAAAAGCAUGUACCAAUUAUAUAUUUUGUUUCGUAGAGUAACCAUGCUUUCAAUUUUGAAGGGUUUCUCAUGGCUUUCAUGUUAUGUACCCGUUGGAUGCAAGUGACACAAUCAGGAUGCAAGUGACAUGAUCAGACAAAGAAACAUAGAUUAAAGGCUCUUCUGAUGCUACGACGAGCGUGUCAUGCUACGACGAGCGUGUCAGUGCGGUGAAGCGAUAAAGACCUACAAAAUUAGCAAACUCUCAUGUCAGUGAAGUCAAAGAGAAAUAUUGCGUACGAGUGACGAAGGUGGCCGGUGCAUCAGUUAUGGGGAUCAAGUGUUUGACUCAUUGACGAGGGAUGUAAAUCAAGUUUCAAAGAUUAUUUUAAAAGGAGUAUGCUUUCAAACGUACUAGCCAGGCAGGUUCCGGUGUUCUCUUUGGAGCAUCUGGCAGUUAACUUCCUUAACAUUCAAAUUCAAAUACUCUCAACAACAAAAAGAGUUAUGGUUAGCAGGUUACAAAAGGUUGUGGUCAGGCCACUCUGUACCAGGCUUCGAGUUUGACAGCAGAAUAUGUUAUUUUGACCUCAAGAUUGGUUCGAAAAUAAUAAUUACAGUUUAGAAAUAAUUGAUCAAAGUUUGUCUUUUAACAUAACUGUUAUUACAUUACUCCAUAAUAAAAGUGAAUCGCGAAAUAACAGGUUUAGCUGAAACAAUAUGUGCAAAGUGAAUUGCUAUAUUGGCGAUAAGUUUCUACAACUUCGACAUGGAAAGUCUGGGUGGCCUACAAACAAACUGGCCAUACUACUACACAAGAUAAAACACAUAACAUAGAAUAUUGAAUCAUUGGUGGAAAACCAAAGGCAGUGAUUUGGUUUUAAAUUAAAGCAGUAAUGUAAUGCAAGUUAAAUUGGUGGGACACAAGUAUAAUUUUCACCA
This is a long non-coding RNA of Vicia villosa (hairy vetch), 4219 nucleotides long. RefSeq lists it as uncharacterized. The record is from RefSeq and is a predicted model, not a curated record. The transcript is spliced from 3 exons. Lineage: Eukaryota; Viridiplantae; Streptophyta; Magnoliopsida; Fabales; Fabaceae.